UUUUAAUGGCUAAUUUCCAUUGUAUGUAUGUCUGACAUCUUCUUUAUCCACUCCUCUGUUGAAAAUUUAGGUUAAUUCCAUGUCUUGGAUAUUGUAAAUAGGGCUACAAUGAACUUUAGGUUGCAUGUAUCUUUUCAGCAUCACUUCUUUAUCCUGCUCCUGCUCCUGGUGUGCCAUUCUGAGGCUGCCUCAUGCUUUAGGACUUUAGUUGGUUUGGCUUUAUUUUCUGUGACACCAUUCCCCCUGUCUUUAUACUCAUGAUUGGCCCUAAGAUGGUGCAGUUUCCCCAGCUCUAAUUUUACUUGCUUUUCCUGGGAAAAAAUAUUGGCUGCUCCAUGUGCCAUACUCAUUGGCCUGAGUACCUUGGGCUCCUGCUGUGCAGGCUACUCCAGCUUUUCCAUGUACCGGUUUUCCAGGAUGAGUAGAGGCUGUUCAAACAGAUGCUCUUCCUGCAGAAGAGAACUCCCUUGGUUUCAUGCCCACAGCCUCAUUGAGCCAUGAGUGCCAGGCAAGUAUAACAGUGCUUUCCCUGUGGGUGGGGCUGCCCUAACCCCUGCUGGGUUGCCCCCAAGAUCUGGGGGGUCAACAUUUUGAUGCUUAUCUGCUAAGACUCACCAGACAUGGAAAGCUCUCCUUUUCUCAUAUCUGCUUUUUCACUGAUAUAUGGUUCCUUUUCCCUGAAGUGCCUUAUUCCCACUCCUGUUUUCAAAAUCCAGCUCUUUCCCCAGUACUGGGAUGAAUAUCAGCCUUAAGAAGCUUCUCCUGAUUUUCCUCUACUGCACUGAGUUCCUCGAAUUGCCAUUGCAUUUUAGUGGCCAUGUCUGAUCAUAUCUUAAAUAUGUUGCUUUAUAUGUGUUUGUGUGUAUGUUCUUUCCCUCCUACCUGAAAGUGAGCUCCAUCAGCGUGGUUUGAACUAUAAGCAUCCCUUAGCUCUCCAAAGCCUGAGAAUCCCUAGGGCAGCUAAGAAAUUUAAUGAGGACCAUAGGCCAGGAGCCUGGGAUGUAUUAGGAAAGGCUUAAGAAAAAUCUUCCUGUGGACAACUAGCUUUAAUUAUGAUUGAGAUUUAAAUCCAUUUGGGUAGCAUAUAUUUACUUAAGGCACUAAAGCUCAAGGUUGUGAAUUUUGUUAUGGAUCACCAGGGUGAAACCAGCAAGACGAGAAAAAAGGGAUCAAUAUUAGUAGGCUGUUAAAGUUUUCCAUUUGACUUAUUUUGGGAUUGUGUUAUUUGUAGGGGUAGAGGGUGGCAACUAUCUUUAUCAGACUGACUUAGGCUUUGAGGAAAAGUCUGUGGCCAAAGACAAAAGCUUUUCAAUUUGUAGCAGUUGGAUAACAUCUUAUAAUCAGCCAUAAACACUCUCCCCCUUUUUACUUUAACUUGCUUAGACUGACAGCAGAAAAAUCUAAAGAAAUAGAAUCCAGAUUUUCUUGCGAGCCACAACCGUAAAGCGAUUAAUUUUAAAACAAACCAUGUUUAAAUACUGGCAAAAACAUCAUAAUUUUCAGACUUUGAGGAAAGUUAGAUUUUAUUCCAUGUAUAUAAUACAAACAAACAAAUAUUUGACUGGGAUGAUUUUCCAUAGAUCAUCUGAGAAAACAACAUGCUUAUUGAUUAUAAUUUAUAAACCCUGAAAAAUAAUUUCCUCUCAUCUGUAAUAAAGACUCUUUGAUAUAUAUAUGAACUUGUAAUAUCCUCAAUGGUGAGCAAUUAAGCUCCUUUCAGCAUAAGAUAUAAACGCAAGUUCUGUGACCUUUAGGUUUGAACUACUAGGAAUUAGAAAUUAUGAAUAUAACACUCAGUUUAUACUUCUUUCUUACAACUCUCCAACCUUUAUUAGUCAGGUAUUCAUUCCGAAACCUUUCACCUCAUACAAAUGUUAUCAUCUGCCCUAAAAUCCAGACGCGAUCAAACAAGCAAAAGCACCACACCUGGCAAUUAAAUUGUGAGAAAUUAAAGCUCUUCAAAAUGUGACUGUGACCUGGCACAAUGCUCCACUCACAAUCACGUACAGGAGGGAAGUGGGAAAGUCACAUUGACAAGUGCCAUUAUUUACCCAGAUUGCUCCCAACUUCAUUUCAUCCGCAAAAGGGGUUUUUAAUUAUAAAUACUUUCUUUCAUUCUCCUUCUUCCUUCCUUCCCUCCCUCCCUCCCUCUUUCUUUUCUUUUCUUUCCUUUCCUUUCCCUUUUUUUCUUUCUUUCUGUCUGUCUUUCUUUCUUUCUUUCUUUCACCACAGUCCCUUUGAUUUUCUCCUGUAAAAUGCUCAAAUGAAAUAAAAAUCAAAUAUUAUUAACAUACAAAUAUUUGAAAAGUCAAAUAGCUCCAUAAUAAUGUAUACUAUUUGUCUAUUUCUGCUAUAUAUUCUCUCUUUUUUUUUUUUUUUGUCUUUUUAGAGCUGCACCUGUGGCACAUGGAGAUUGCAGGCUAGGGGUCAAAUCAGAGCUGUAGCCUCUGGCCUACACCACAGCCACAACAGUGCCAGAUCCAGGCCAUAUCUGCGACCUACACCACAGCUCACAGCAAUGUUGGAUCCUUAACCCACUGAGUGAGGUCAGGGAUCGAACCUGUGUCCUCAUGGAUGCUAGUCAGGUUCGUUUCUGCUGAGCCACGAUGGGAACUCCACUGCUAUGUAUUCUUAUCUCCAUUUUGUAGAAGAGGAAACUGGAACUCAGAAGUUUAACUUGGCCAAGUCAUGAUUUAAAUCAAGGCUUCUUAUUGCAAAAUACAAGGCCGGUGUGUGUGUGUAUUUCCAUUUUUUUCACAUUCUAUAGACAAGGAUGAAUUCCCUUUUCCUGCUUGAUAAUGUUUCUUUCUUUCUUUUUUUUUUUUUUUUUUUAAGGGCCACACCCAUGGCCUAUGGAAGUUCCCAGGCUGGGGGUAGAAUUGGAGCUACACUUGCCAGCCUACACCACAGCCUCAGCAAUGCAGGAUCUGAGUUAUGUCUGCAACCUACAUCACACAGCUCAUGGCAAAGCUGGAUCCUUAACCCACUGAGUGAGGCGAGGAAUUGAACCCACAUCCUUAUGGAUCCCAGUCGGGUUUGUUAACCACUGAGCCAUGAAGGGAACUCUGGAUAGCAUUCUAUAAACCCUACCUGAUCAUUCAUUUGUUCCUUCAUCCAUGCAUUCAUUCACCACUUAGUGGAUACUAAAUCUGAUUAAGAAUUAGAAAAUUAAAGGACUUAAGAAGAGGAAAAAAGAGAUAAAGUCAUUGAGAAAAUGGAGUAAAAUAAACUUGGCAAAGGUAAAGGGACUAAAUUUUAAUUAGGGAAGAAGAAGCUGAGUCUGGAUGAAAACAAACUCCCAUUCUAAACUCUGUCCUCUUAAGCACUGUGCAGCACUUCUUACCUUUGAUGUGCUGUUUAAUUGACAUGUUCCCCUAAAAGUAUCUUUAUUGCUCAGACCCUCUAGAGUCACAGCCCACUGGAGGGGAAAAACAAUACGUACUAGGUACCACACACUAUGCUGGGCACUGAAAUCAGAGAUAAAGCAGAUCAAAUCCCUGACUUUGUGAUGUCCAAGUUCAGUAAUAGGAAGCCCCCCAGCGUACUUGUCUGUGAGGUUUGACAACAAUUUCUUCAGAUUAUGUAAGAGUCCCAGUUGCUCGAAACAGUAUUUAAGGCUACAUCAAAAAAUGUAGCCUGUCUUCCUGUCUAUGUCUCUACUUCCUUAUUCCUCUCCUGCGUCUUUUCAUCUUCAUUUUACAUACUUGAACUGUUUCUGGUGCCUUCAAAAUAUUGAGAUGAGAGGGCCCGAUAAGAAGAGAAGGAUGUCUGCAUGGAAAAGAGCAGGGAACAGUCCCAUCAAUCUUCCUUAUUGACCCCAGCAACUCUUCAGAAGUUUGAGUGAGUUCCUCUGGUCACACGUGGUUCUCUUGAGUCAAUGUGCGUGGGUACCCUUUGUGAUAUUCUCUUAACCAGUUCAAGAAUAAGUCUCUAGCUAAGAGAGUCACACCAAAUAUUUCACUUUUGACUCUGGGCCAGCCUUUUCAAAAACAAAUAUUGAAUUUUGAAUUCAUUCUCCAAUACACAACUACAUCUCCCUUGAAUACAAAUUCAUUUAACGAACAUUUUCCUGGAUGCAUUAAGUGGUAAAGACAGCCGAGUCAUUAAAAUCAGUAGUUCUAGGGUACAGAUAUAGGUCUGCCACUUACUAUAUAACCUUGACCAAGUCCCUUAACUUCUCUGAACCUCAGUGUUCUCUUUAUUGCAAUGGUGCUAAUUUCAAGGGGUUGUUAUGAACAUUAUAUAAAACGGUAUUUGAUAAGAGGCUUCAUCGAUGGUUUUGUGUUAAGUACUAGUUGUGAGUUAUAAGAAUAUAUCACAUACUCUAUAUCUGCCAAUAAAAACAUUAGAGAAAUUGAGAGAAAUCACUUUGGGUGGCAAAUAUGCUUUAUGUGCAUGACAUAACUGCAAACAAUAGAAAACUAAUGUGGCCAAGUGAUUCCAAGCUAAUUAAAUUACUUCAGACCCCAGACAAUACUUCCAGAAUGCAAUUCCAAGUAGACAUCUAACUCUACUUCAUCAAUGCUUCUUUGCUACAGUCUUAACAUAAUACGCAUGCAUCCCAUUACCUGUUAGGAAAAAGUCAAGUUAGAGUGAAGGGAGGAGAGAAGCAAUGAAAGAGAGCCUAAAAGCUUUUUGAAGUCUCCCAUAUGCAAAUGCCUCAAUGUUGUGUUGAGAGAAAUAGCAAUAGAAUAAGAGUUCCCAGGGCAAGGCUGUCAUUGCCUUUCCCACUUUGCAGCCAUAUGUCUGUCACAAUAUUGAGCUGUCACGCACUGAGAUUGCUAGUGUGACAUCUUCAUCGGUUGCAAACUGACUCUAGCCCCAGACAGCUCCAGCAAUUACUGGGGCACCACACUCACUCCAUCCUGACUCUCCCCAGUAGCUUCAGAGAAUCCAUACUGUCCACGCUGGACCCGAAUCCAGGGUGAUUUGACUUUAGUGGGCAUCAGCCAACACUUGGCACACAUAAAAAACUCCAAUCAGCAUCAUCUCCAUUUUGAACUGUGAUAAGAGCCCAGAAAAGAGCAUCAGAUAGGCAGAAAAGAGUCCGGCUCAGUUCAGAGUAAAAGCCAAAGCUGCUUUCUCCUCACAGUGGAAGGACACAUCAAAUGUUCAAGAGAUGAUGGAUUAAGAAAGCAGAAGACUCUGAAUAUUCUCAAGAGGAGGCACAAUAGAUUCUUUUCUCCCUCUUGAAAAGGCUUAGAUUUAAUUUUUAAAAUAUCAUUAUAAUUUCCCAUUGAGAAAUUACUCAUAGAAACGGCAUUUAUUUUAAAUUUCUCUGUUUCAGAAACUGUGCCACCAGGGAAAAAUGAGUAUGUUCAUGAGUGGGCUGUGAAGGUAGAAAGCACAUUUCAUUUCAUAAAUGUCUCUGCUAUAUUGUGAAACCAUUUAAAAUUGUGGGACGCUUUGGGAACCUUAAGGUCACUGAUGCUUUGGUCCUUGUAGCCAACAUCCACCUUAGAUUCUGAAAGGUAAACUGCCAAAGUACUGAAUUUGGUUGUGUUUUGGUGAGAGUAAUAAUUAGAUGAUUUACUGGCAACUGAAUCACAUUGAGAUGUUAUUGUGUAGCAGCUCUGAAGUCAGAAUCCCAGAUUGACCCCUUUUAUGUUGGGUGACUUCAAACUUUAUUUUUUUGGUUUAGUUCAGUGAAAUUUAUUGUAGGUUGAAAAAAAAAUCAGCAUUCAUCUAUUUAGUGUACAAAAAGGACACUAGAUCUUUUAAGAAAAUAUUAGCAAACUGAAGAUGCAGAUGCCUUUCAAUUGUAACAUGAUAGUAAAAGUGAAAAGUUCUUGUAAACAGAAAUUCCAUAGUUCAAAAUCAUUUUUCUCCACAGUAU
This 5836-nucleotide long non-coding RNA is filed under the name Sus scrofa (pig). RNAcentral describes it as "lncRNA (ENSSSCG00000061642.1)". The record is from RNAcentral. Lineage: Eukaryota; Metazoa; Chordata; Mammalia; Artiodactyla; Suidae.